RNAcentral lists this ribosomal RNA (238 nucleotides) under Roeboides dayi. RNAcentral's name for it is "partial small subunit ribosomal RNA". The record is from RNAcentral. Lineage: Eukaryota; Metazoa; Chordata; Actinopteri; Characiformes; Characidae.
UCAUAGUAAGCGAAAUGGUAUUACACCAGAACGUCAGGUCGAGGUGUAGCUCACGAGGUGGGAAGAAAUGGGCUACAUUUUCUAUGUUAGAAUAAUACGAAUUAUACUAUGAAAUAAGUAGUUGAAGGUGGAUUUAGUAGUAAAAAACAAACAGAGAGUCUUUUUGAAUUAGGCUCUGAGAUGCGUACACACCGCCCGUCACUCUCCCUAAUUUAAGCAAUAUCAAAUGUAAAUAACC